RNAcentral lists this ribosomal RNA (375 nucleotides) under uncultured bacterium. Its description in RNAcentral is "bacterial SSU rRNA". It matches the Rfam family "Bacterial small subunit ribosomal RNA", at positions 521 to 896 of the family's 1533-position model. The record is from RNAcentral.
UAAUACGUAGGCAGCAAGCGUUGUUCGGAAUUACUGGGCGUAAAGAGUGCGUAGGUGGUGCUCUAAGUUUGGUGUGAAAUCUCCCGGCUUAACCGGGAGGGUGCGCCGAAAACUGGAGUGCUUGAGGGUGGGAGAGGUAAGCGGAAUUCCUGGUGUAGCGGUGAAAUGCGUAGAUAUCAGGAGGAACACCUGUGGUGUAGACAGCUUACUGGACCACUUCUGACACUGAGGCACGAAAGCGUGGGUAGCAAACAGGAUUAGAUACCCUGGUAGUCCACGCCCUAAACGAUGCAUACUUGGUGUGAGUCAUUCAUUUGAUUCGUGCCGGAGCUAACGCGUUAAGUAUGCCGCCUGGGGAGUACGGUCGCAAGGCUG